UUGGGUUAAGUCCCGCAACGAGCGCAACCCCUAUUGUUAGUUGCCAUCAUUCAGUUGGGCACUCUAGCGAGACUGCCGGUAAUAAACCGGAGGAAGGUGGGGAUGACGUCAAAUCAUCAUGCCCCUUAUGACCUGGGCUACACACGUGCUACAAUGGUUGGUACAACGAGUUGCGAGUCGGUGACGGCGAGCUAAUCUCUUAAAGCCAAUCUCAGUUCGGAUUGUAGGCUGCAACUCGCCUACAUGAAGUCGGAAUCGCUAGUAAUCGCGGAUCAGCACGCCGCGGUGAAUACGUUCCCGGGCCUU
Molecule: ribosomal RNA, 306 nt
Filed under: uncultured Streptococcus sp.
Lineage: Bacteria; Bacillati; Bacillota; Bacilli; Lactobacillales; Streptococcaceae
Description: bacterial SSU rRNA
Rfam family: Bacterial small subunit ribosomal RNA
Source: RNAcentral